CAUGGCUCAGGACGAACGCUGGCGGCGUGCCUAAUACAUGCAAGUCGAACGCUUCUUUUCCCACCGGAGCUUGCUCCACCGGGAAAAGAGGAGUGGCGAACGGGUGAGUAACACGUGGGUAACCUGCCCAUCAGAAGGGGAUAACACUUGGAAACAGGUGCUAAUACCGUAUAACAAUCGAAACCGCAUGGUUUCGUUUUGAAAGGCGCUUUACGGUGCCGCUGAUGGAUGGACCCGCGGUGCAUUAGCUAGUUGGUGAGGUAACGGCUCACCAAGGCCACGAUGCAUAGCCGACCUGAGAGGGUGAUCGGCCACAUUGGGACUGAGACACGGCCCAAACUCCUACGGGAGGCAGCAGUAGGGAAUCUUCGGCAAUGGACGAAAGUCUGACCGAGCAACGCCGCGUGAGUGAAGAAGGUUUUCGGAUCGUAAAACUCUGUUGUUAGAGAAGAACAAGGGUGAGAGUAACUGUUCACCCCUUGACGGUAUCUAACCAGAAAGCCACGGCUAACUACGUGCCAGCAGCCGCGGUAAUACGUAGGUGGCAAGCGUUGUCCGGAUUUAUUGGGCGUAAAGCGAGCGCAGGCGGUUUCUUAAGUCUGAUGUGAAAGCCCCCGGCUCAACCGGGGAGGGUCAUUGGAAACUGGGAGACUUGAGUGCAGAAGAGGAGAGUGGAAUUCCAUGUGUAGCGGUGAAAUGCGUAGAUAUAUGGAGGAACACCAGUGGCGAAGGCGGCUCUCUGGUCUGUAACUGACGCUGAGGCUCGAAAGCGUGGGGAGCAAACAGGAUUAGAUACCCUGGUAGUCCACGCCGUAAACGAUGAGUGCUAAGUGUUGGAGGGUUUCCGCCCUUCAGUGCUGCAGCUAACGCAUUAAGCACUCCGCCUGGGGAGUACGACCGCAAGGUUGAAACUCAAAGGAAUUGACGGGGGCCCGCACAAGCGGUGGAGCAUGUGGUUUAAUUCGAAGCAACGCGAAGAACCUUACCAGGUCUUGACAUCCUUUGACCACUCUAGAGAUAGAGCUUCCCCUUCGGGGGCAAAGUGACAGGUGGUGCAUGGUUGUCGUCAGCUCGUGUCGUGAGAUGUUGGGUUAAGUCCCGCAACGAGCGCAACCCUUAUUGUUAGUUGCCAUCAUUUAGUUGGGCACUCUAGCAAGACUGCCGGUGACAAACCGGAGGAAGGUGGGGAUGACGUCAAAUCAUCAUGCCCCUUAUGACCUGGGCUACACACGUGCUACAAUGGGAAGUACAACGAGUCGCGAAGUCGCGAGGCUAAGCUAAUCUCUUAAAGCUUCUCUCAGUUCGGAUUGUAGGCUGCAACUCGCCUACAUGAAGCCGGAAUCGCUAGUAAUCGCGGAUCAGCACGCCGCGGUGAAUACGUUCCCGGGCCUUGUACACACCGCCCGUCACACCACGAGAGUUUGUAACACCCGAAGUCGGUGAGGUAACCUUUUUGGAGCCAGCCGCCUAAGGUGGGAUAGAUGAUUGGGGUGAAGUCGUAACA
RNAcentral lists this ribosomal RNA (1504 nucleotides) under Enterococcus mundtii. RNAcentral describes it as "bacterial SSU rRNA". It matches the Rfam family "Bacterial small subunit ribosomal RNA". The record is from RNAcentral. Lineage: Bacteria; Bacillati; Bacillota; Bacilli; Lactobacillales; Enterococcaceae.